CCGGCGACCGGCGCACGGGUGAGUAACACGUAUGCGACCUGCCCCCCGCAGGGGGAUAACCGGGAGAAAUCCCGACUAAUACCGCGUAACGCCGCGGACCUGCAUGGGUCUGCGGCCAAAGGAAGCGAUUCCGGCGGGGGAUGGGCAUGCGGCGCAUUAGCUAGUCGGCGGGGUAACGGCCCACCGAGGCGACGAUGCGUAGGGGUUCUGAGAGGAAGGUCCCCCCACACUGGUACUGAGACACGGACCAGACUCCUACGGAAGGCAGCAG
RNAcentral lists this ribosomal RNA (271 nucleotides) under uncultured bacterium. RNAcentral's name for it is "partial 16S ribosomal RNA". It matches the Rfam family "Bacterial small subunit ribosomal RNA", at positions 88 to 354 of the family's 1533-position model. The record is from RNAcentral.